Molecule: ribosomal RNA, 167 nt
Filed under: uncultured bacterium
Lineage: Bacteria
Description: partial 16S ribosomal RNA
Rfam family: Bacterial small subunit ribosomal RNA
Source: RNAcentral
CUAGUAAUGGCAGGUCAGCAUACUGCCGUGAAUACGUUCCCGGGGCCCUUGUGCACACCGCCCGUCACACCAUGAGAGUUGGGAAUACCCGAAGCCUGUGAGCUAACUUAUAGAGGCAGCAGUCGAAGGUAGAAUCAAUGAUUGGGGUGAAGUCGUAACAAGGUAUC